AGCGGUGUAGCCUAGUGGAAAGAGCACAGGCCUGAGAGUCUGAGGACCUGGGUUUUCAUCCCGGCUCUGCCA
RNAcentral lists this transfer RNA (72 nucleotides) under Ornithorhynchus anatinus (platypus). It matches the Rfam family "tRNA". From Rfam's summary of the family: Transfer RNA (tRNA) molecules are approximately 80 nucleotides in length. Lineage: Eukaryota; Metazoa; Chordata; Mammalia; Monotremata; Ornithorhynchidae. The record is from Rfam by way of RNAcentral.